Molecule: long non-coding RNA, 309 nt
Filed under: Elaeis guineensis (African oil palm)
Lineage: Eukaryota; Viridiplantae; Streptophyta; Magnoliopsida; Arecales; Arecaceae
Description: long non-coding RNA (EGUI_LNC056754)
Source: RNAcentral
GAGUGGAUACCCAUAGAGCUUGGAUACUUGCAUGGAUAAGGAAGAAGCUACUUUCUUUUAGAUCUAUAUUCGAAGAAAAAAAUUAUGAAACAAAUAUGUGAUUCGAUCACAUAUUUAAUUUCAGCAUAAGAUUCAGUAUAUGUUCAAUUUCAGUAUAUAAAGUAGAUCCAUAUGUUCUUUAUUUUAUACAUGCAUGAUUUAAAUUAAAAAAUAUUUUAAUCUUCUAUUCUAUUAUACUAUUUAGAAAAAAAAUUUGAAACAUACAUGCAUAUCCUUAUACAAAAUUACAACACCUCAACCUCACCAUUA